AAAGGAAUAGACGGGGGCCCGCACAAGCAGCGGAGCAUGUGGUUUAAUUCGAAGCAACGCGAAGAACCUUACCAGAGCUUGACAUCUCCUGCAUAAUCCGUAAUGGGAUGAAAUCCUUUUAGGACAGGAAGACAGGUGGUGCAUGGUUGUCGUCAGCUCGUGUCGUGAGAUGUUGGGUUAAGUCCCGCAACGAGCGCAACCCCUAUACUUAGUUGCCAUCAUUAAGUUGGGCACUCUAAGUAGACUGCCGGAGACAAUUCGGAGGAAGGUGGGGAUGACGUCAAAUCAUCAUGCCCCUUAUGUUCUGGGCUACACACGUGCUACAAUGGGUAUAACAACGGGAAGCAAGCCAGCGAUGGUGAGCAAAUCCCUAAAAAAUACUCCCAGUUCAGAUUGUUCUCUGCAACUCGAGAACAUGAAGUCGGAGUUGCUAGUAAUCGCGAAUCAGCAUGUCGCGGUGAAUACGUUCCCGGGCCUUGCACACACCGCCCGU
This 493-nucleotide ribosomal RNA is filed under the name uncultured bacterium. RNAcentral describes it as "bacterial SSU rRNA". It matches the Rfam family "Bacterial small subunit ribosomal RNA", at positions 903 to 1397 of the family's 1533-position model. The record is from RNAcentral.